This 725-nucleotide long non-coding RNA is filed under the name Homo sapiens (human). RNAcentral's name for it is "non-protein coding lnc-NMRK2-5:3". The record is from RNAcentral. Lineage: Eukaryota; Metazoa; Chordata; Mammalia; Primates; Hominidae.
UGAUCUGGCGGGCACACAGUGCAAUGUGAAAGCAGGUGUGCGUGCACACCCACACCCGCAUGCCCACACAUCCAUACAGUCCACACCAUCACACACACACACCCACACACAUCCAUACAGUCCAUACCAUCACACACACCCGCACACAUCCAUACAGUCCACACCAUCACACACACACCCGCACACAUCCAUACAGUCCACACCAUAACACACACACACAUCUAUACAGUCCACACCGUCACACACACACACAUCUAUACAGUCCACACCUGUUACAUGCACACAUCUAUACAGUCCACACCGUCACACAUCCAUACAGUCCACACCGUCAUACACACACACAUCUAUACAGUCCACACCGUCUCACAUCUAUACAGUCCACACUGUCAUACACACACAUCUAUACAGUCCACACCGUCACACAUCCAUAUAGUCCACACCAUCAUACACACACACAUCUCUACAGUCCACACCAUCACAUGCACACACACAUCUAUAUGGUCUACACCGUCACACACACACACACAUCUAUACAGUCCACACCGUCACAUAUCUGUACAGUCCACACCGUCACACACACACGCCCACACCCGCAUGCCACACAUCCAUACAGUCCACAUUCACGUAUGCCCAUAUGCAUCCAUUCACACGUGUGUACACAUGCUCACACACACACAUUCAUAGACUCCACACAUGCACACGUGCACACACACGCACAUGCUCGC